GUAAGGAAUAUUGGUCAAUGGGCGGAAGCCUGAACCAGCCAUGCCGCGUGCAGGAAGACGGCCCUACGGGUUGUAAACUGCUUUUGUACGGGAAUAAACCUUGAUACGUGUAUCAAGCUGAAUGUACCGUAAGAAUAAGGAUCGGCUAACUCCGUGCCAGCAGCCGCGGUAAUACGGAGGAUCCGAGCGUUAUCCGGAUUUAUUGGGUUUAAAGGGUGCGUAGGCGGCUUUUUAAGUCAGGGGUGAAAGACGGCAGCUCAACUGUCGCAGUGCCUUUGAUACUGAAGAGCUUGAAUGCACUUGAAGUAGGCGGAAUGUGACAAGUAGCGGUGAAAUGCAUAGAUAUGUCACAGAACACCAAUUGCGAAGGCAGCUUACUAAAGUGUGAUUGACGCUGAGGCACGAAAGCGUGGGGAUCAAACAGG
This 425-nucleotide ribosomal RNA is filed under the name uncultured Mucilaginibacter sp. Its description in RNAcentral is "bacterial SSU rRNA". It matches the Rfam family "Bacterial small subunit ribosomal RNA", at positions 354 to 776 of the family's 1533-position model. The record is from RNAcentral. Lineage: Bacteria; Pseudomonadati; Bacteroidota; Sphingobacteriia; Sphingobacteriales; Sphingobacteriaceae.